Molecule: ribosomal RNA, 1277 nt
Filed under: metagenome
Description: SSU rRNA
Rfam family: Eukaryotic small subunit ribosomal RNA
Source: RNAcentral
GAAUGUAUGAGAAUACUACUUGGAUAACCGUAGUGAUUCUAGAGCUAAUACAUGCAACGACGCCCGACCGUUUCACUACGGAAGGGCUGUAUUUAUUGGAUACCAGAACCAUCCUUCCCUCGGGAAGUUUUGUUUGAUGAUUCACAAUAACUGAUCGGAUCGCCACUGUGGUGGCGACAGGUCGUUCAACAUUCUGCCCUAUCAGCUUUCGAUGGUUGUGUAGUGGACAACCAUGGCCAUAACGGGUAACGGAGAAUCAGGGUUCGAUUCCGGAGAAGGAGCUUGAGAAUUGGCUACUACAUCUAAGGAAGGCAGCAGGCGCGCAAAUUACCCAAUCCCGAUUCGGGGAGGUAGUGACAAAAAAUAACAAUACCGGGCCUUUUUGGGCUUGGUAAUUGGAAUGAGGGAGAGUUAAACGGACCAUCGAGUAUCCAUUGGAGGGCAAGUCUGGUGCCAGCAGCAGCGGUAAUACCAGCUCCAAUAGCGUAUAUUAAAGUUGUUGCAGUUAAAAAGCUCGUAGUUGGACUUGUGUGCGCUGUCCGCGGGUGGCCUGCGCCCAAAAGGGCGUUUCGGUUCGGCCCCGGUGGCGCCUUGAAAUCUGCAGCUGGGGGGACGUUGGCCUUAACUGGUCGGCGACCGCACGCCGGCUGCUCGGUUACUGUGAGAAAAUUAGAGUGUUCAAGGCAGGCAUUGGGUGCAAUUGAAUACAUUAGCAUGGAAUAAUAAAAUAUGGCUCCUGCCGUAUUUUGUUGGUUUUGACUGGUGGGAGUAAUGAUUGAUAGGGACGGUUGGGGGUGCUAGUAAUGAGCGGCCAGAGGUGAAAUUCAUGGAUUCGCUCAAGACUAACUUAUGCGAAAGCAUUCACCAAGGACGUCCUCUUUAAUCAAGAACGAAAGUUGGGGGAUCGAAGACGAUCAGAUACCGUCGUAGUCUCAACCAUAAACUAUGUCGACUUGGGAUCGGCGGUAGUUUUUUCAUUAAGACACUGUCGGGACCACGGGAGAAAUCAAAGUGUCUGGACUCUGGGGGAAGUAUGGUCGCAAGGCUGAAACUUGAAGGAAUUGACGGAAGGGCACCACCAGGAGUGGAGCCUGCGGCUUAAUUUGACCCAACACGGGGAAACUUACCAGGUCCAGAGAUGUAGAGGAUUGACAGAUUGAAGCUCUUUCUUGAUCACUUCGGUGGUGGUGCAUGGCCGUUCUUAGUUGGUGGAGUGAUUUGUCUGGUUAAUUCCGUUAACGAACGAGACCUCAGCCUGCUAGUGUAGUCGGCUGGAU